This 2007-nucleotide ribosomal RNA is filed under the name human metagenome. RNAcentral's name for it is "bacterial LSU rRNA". It matches the Rfam family "Bacterial large subunit ribosomal RNA", at positions 1 to 2008 of the family's 2925-position model. The record is from RNAcentral.
UAAAAUAAUUAAGGGCACACAAAGGAUGCCUAGGUAGUAAGAGCCGAUGAAGGACGUGGUAAGCUGCGAUAAGCCUAGAUAAGUUGCAAUCGAACGUAAGAGUCUAGGAUUUCCGAAUGGAGCAAUCUAUUAAGAUGGAGUCUUAAUACGAAAGAGGGAACCGCGUGAACUGAAACAUCUAAGUAACGCGAGGAAAAGAAAGUAAAAACGAUACCCAAAGUAGCGGCGAGCGAAAUGGGUCAAGCCUAAACCUUAAAUAUGUCAAGGAUACAGCCGUUGUAUUUAAGGGGUUGUGGGACAGAGUGAUGAAGAACUGUAAGAUAUUCAAUAUAGUGUAUUGAUGAAUUAGAAUUGUCUGGAAAGGUGAACCGCAGAAGGUGAAAGUCCUGUAUAAGUAAAUCCUUACACAUAUAACUUUGCUCCCAAGUAACAUGGAACACGAGGAAUUCUGUGUGAAUCUGUGAGGACCAUAUCUCAUAAGGCUAAAUACUCUUACUAACCGAUAGCGCAUAGUACCGUGAGGGAAAGGUGAAAAGAACCCCUGGAGGGGAGUGAAAUAGAACCUGAAAUUGUGUGCUUACAAGCGGUCAGAGCCCAUUUGGGUGAUGGCGUGCCUUUUGGAGAAUGAUCCUGCGAGUUACGUUAAACGGCGAGGUUAAGUAUAACGGAGCCGAAGGGAAACCAAGUCUUAAUAGGGCGAUUUAGUCGUUUGGCGUAGACGCGAAACCUGGUGAUCUAAACCUGUCCAGGAUGAAGCUGUGGUAAGACACAGUGGAGGUCCUAACCCACCGCCGUUGAAAAGUUGGGGGAUGAGGUAGGUUUAGGGGUGAAAAGCCAAUCGAACCAGGAGAUAGCUCGUUCUCUCCGAAAUGCAUCUAGGUGCAGCCUUGAGUGUUCAAUUAUGGGGGUAGAGCACUGAAUGAUCUAGGGGGCAUAUUGCUUACUGAAAUCAAUCAAACUCCGAAUACCAUAAUUUAUAGCUCAGGAGUGAGACUAUGGGAGUUAACUUCCAUUGUCAAAAGGGAAACAACCCAGACCACCAGCUAAGGUCCCUAAUUAUAACUAAGUGGGAAAGGAGGUGGAGAUUCACAAACAACUAGGAGGUUGGCUUAGAAGCAGCCAUACCUUUAAAGAGUGCGUAAUAGCUCACUAGUCGAGAGUCUCUGCGCCGACAAUGUAACGGGGCUAAGUUAUAAACCGAAGCUGUGGAAUCCGUAAGGAUUGGUAGGAGAGCGUUCUGUAGGCCGUUGAAGAAGAAGGGUAACCAACUUUGGAGGUAUCAGAAGUGAGAAUGCAGGAAUAAGUAGCGAGAAAGGGGGCGAGAAUCCCCCUCGCCGGAAGACCAAGGUUUUCAGGGUAAAGCUUGUCUUCCCUGAGUAAGCCGGGACCUAAGCCCAGGCUAUAAUGCGUAGGCGAAUGGAAAACAGAUUAAUAUUUCUGUGCCAGUCAUUUAUUGUGAUGGAGGGACGCAGAAGGGUAUGCGCGCGGACGAUCGGUUGUGUCCGUAGAAGUAUGUAGGGUGACUUAGUAGGUAAAUCCAUUAAGUUAUAUCUGAGGUAUGAUAUACAGUCGUAAGAUGAAUGCGCAAAUCCCACGCUGCCAAGAAAAGCUUCUAACGUUAAUAUAUGACUGCCCGUACUGUAAACCGACACAGGUGGUCAGGAUGAGAAAUCUAAGGCGGACAGGCUAACUCUCGUUAAGGAACUCUGCAAAAUAACCUCGUAACUUCGGGAGAAGAGGAGCCCUUGGGUGUUAGUAUCCAUGCGAUACAAAGCGCUCGAGGGUCGCAGUGAAGAGGCUCAAGCAACUGUUUAACAAAAACACAGGUCUAUGCUAAGCUGGAAGGCGAUGUAUAUGGGCUGACACCUGCCCAGUGCUGGAAGGUUAAGAGGAGGAGUGAGAGCUCCGAAUUGAAGCCCCAGUGAACGGCGGCCGUAACUAUAACGGUCCUAAGGUAGCGAAAUUCCUUGUCGGGUAAGUUCCGACCUGCACGAAUGGUGUAACGAU